UGCUUGUGUCCUCCUGCAGAAGGGAGCUGGAACAGUUCUGGCACUGCUGGCUCACCGUGUCUUCCAUCCACCCUGUGUGCCGUGAGAGUAAACGUCAGAGGCAAGACGCGAAUGCCCUUCAGUGAGUCAUCUCUGGGUGGUCCUGCUCACUGAUUUGGGAUCUAACUAAUCUUUAAGCAGUGUUCUCCUCACCCGUAAUUUUCAAAUCAGAGCCUAAAUCUCACAGACAUGCAGGCAAUGGAACAGCAGCGUCUCUGUCUGCAAGGUGGUCUGCUAUGCAGUUAUGAUCACUCUGGUGGCCUUGGCGAACCUGGCCAGCAUGGCACUGACCAUCACCAUUCGGAGAGACUGGGUUGUGAGCCAGGUGACAGCAGAGGCCAGCUGGCUGGUGAGCUGUGCCACCCCAAGACACAACGGAGCAUCACAGCUUCUCUAAUCUGCUGAGAAGUAGGUCUGGUGUGGUGAAUAGAGUUUGGGUGCUCUGAGAAAUGCAGUACUGUAGCCUUUAAGAGAACGUAUUUGGGAGUUCCUUUUGUGGCUCAGUGGGUUAAGAACCCAUUAGUAUCCAUGAGGAUGCAGGUUUGAUUCCUGGCCUCACUCAGUGGGUUAGGGAUCCGGCAUUGCCACAAGCUGUGGUAUAGGUUGCAGAUGCAGCUUGGAUCUGGCAUGGCUGUGGUGUAGGCCAGUGGCUGCAACUUUGAUUCAGCCCCUAUCCUGGGAACUUCUAUAUGCUGUAGGUGAAGCCCUAAAAAGCAAAAAGAAAAAAAAAAGAAAAGAGAGAGAAAGAAGGUAUUUGGAGUCAAAGAGACCUGGAUUUGAAUCCAGCCAAAACCAACUACGGCAAGUUAACUAACCAGCUGCAAGUUAACUAACUUCCCUAGACUUUACUUUGCUCAUCUGUAGAAUGGGGAAAUUAUGACAACCCCCCACCUUGCCAUCACUCAGUUUGGGGAAGGCUUCUGUGAGAUAGGGGAUUUGUGAAGCACUUAGCAUUGUAUCUGCAUGUAGGAAGCACAGAAGAAAUGGAUGAUGCCAUUAUUAUCAAAAAGAUGUACAGAGUGUACUUUGGGGAGAGGAGCCCCUUUGAAUAUAUUACAGAGGUUCUUUUUGGUAAUUUUAGAGUUGGAAAAUAAAUUACAAGAUUUCUUAAUUCUGGCCA
This 1159-nucleotide long non-coding RNA is filed under the name Sus scrofa (pig). Its description in RNAcentral is "lncRNA (ENSSSCG00065045387.1)". Lineage: Eukaryota; Metazoa; Chordata; Mammalia; Artiodactyla; Suidae. The record is from RNAcentral.